GAUAAAUUUUUUAUAUUUUUUAUAAUUUAUUUUAAAUUUAUUUUACAUAUAAAUUUUAGUAUUAAAUUUUAAUUAUUUAAAUAAUAAUUAAUUUAAUUUAAGUAGUAAUUAAAAUUAAAAAUUUAAGAAAUUAAGAUUUAGUAAUAUUUAAAUUAAUAACUAAUUUUGUGCCAGCAGUUGCGGUUAAACAAAAAUUAAAUUAAAUUAUUUCAGUAUAUAAUAAAUAAUUAUUUAUUAAACUAAAUAUUAAAUUAUUAAGUGAAAUUUUAAUUUAAUUAAAAAUUAUUUUAAAAUUAUGAUUUAAUAAAUUUUAUUUUAAACUAGGAUUAGAUACCCUAUUAUUAAAAAUUUAAUUAAAAAUACUAAAAUAGUAAAUAAAAUAUUAUUGAAACUUAAAUAAUAUGGCGGUAUUUUAGUUCAUUUAGAGGAAUCUGUCUAAUAAUUGAUAAUCCACGAAUAAAUUUACUUAAUUUAUAAUUUUGUAUAUCAUUGUUAAAAAAAUAUUUUUAAAUAAAAAUAAUAUUUUAAAAUUUAAAAUAAAAUUUAAUUCAGAUCAAGAUGCAGAUUAUAAUUAAGUUUAAGAUGGAUUACAAUAAAAUUAUUUAAGCGGAAAAGUUUUGUAAAAAUUAAUUGAAGAUGGAUUUAAAUGUAAUUUUAAUUAAUUUAUUAAAAUGAUUAAAAAUUGAAAUAUGUACAUAUUGCCCGUCACUUUCAUUUAAAAAUUGAAAUAAGUCGUAACAAAGUAGAAGUACUGGAAAGUGUUUCUAGAAUGAA
RNAcentral lists this non-coding RNA (774 nucleotides) under Athyma asura (studded sergeant). The record is from RNAcentral. Lineage: Eukaryota; Metazoa; Arthropoda; Insecta; Lepidoptera; Nymphalidae.